RNAcentral lists this ribosomal RNA (704 nucleotides) under bacterium b1cb16. RNAcentral describes it as "bacterial SSU rRNA". It matches the Rfam family "Bacterial small subunit ribosomal RNA", at positions 760 to 1460 of the family's 1533-position model. The record is from RNAcentral.
CGUGGGGAGCAAACCAGGAUUAGAUACCCCUGGUAGUCCACGCCGUAAACGAUGUCUACUCGGAAUUUGGUGUCUUGAACACUGGGUUCUCAAGCUAACGCAUUAAGUAGACCGCCUGGGGAGUACGGCCGCAAGGUUAAAACUCAAAUGAAUUGACGGGGGCCCGCACAAGCGGUGGAGCAUGUGGUUUAAUUCGGAUGCAACGCGAAGAACCUUACCUACUCUUGACAUCCAGAGAACUUUCCAGAGAUGGAUUGGUGCCUUCGGGAACUCUGAGACAGGUGCUGCAUGGCUGUCGUCAGCUCGUGUUGUGAAAUGUUGGGUUAAGUCCCGCAACGAGCGCAACCCUUAUCCUUAUUUGCCAGCACGUAAUGGUGGGAACUUUAGGGAGACUGCCGGUGAUAAACCGGAGGAAGGUGGGGACGACGUCAAGUCAUCAUGGCCCUUACGAGUAGGGCUACACACGUGCUACAAUGGUCGGUACAGAGGGUUGCGAAGCCGCGAGGUGGAGCUAAUCUCACAAAGCCGGUCGUAGUCCGGAUUGGAGUCUGCAACUCGACUCCAUGAAGUCGGAAUCGCUAGUAAUCGUAGAUCAGAAUGCUACGGUGAAUACGUUCCCGGGCCUUGUACACACCGCCCGUCACACCAUGGGAGUGGGCUGCACCAGAAGUAGAUAGCUUAACCUUCGGGAGGGCGUUUACCAC